GACGAACGCUGGCGGCGUGCUUAACACAUGCAAGUCGAACGAUGAACACCGGAGCUUGCUCUGGUGGGAUUAGUGGCGAACGGGUGAGUAACACGUGAGCAAUCUGCCCCCGACUCUGGGAUAACCCCGAGAAAUCGGAGCUAAUACCGGAUACGACACCUCCUGGCAUCAGGUGGGUGUGGAAAGAAUUUUGGUUGGGGAUGAGCUCGCGGCCUAUCAGCUUGUUGGUGAGGUAAUGGCUCACCAAGGCGACGACGGGUAGCCGGCCUGAGAGGGUGACCGGCCACACUGGGACUGAGACACGGCCCAGACUCCUACGGGAGGCAGCAGUGGGGAAUAUUGCACAAUGGGCGCAAGCCUGAUGCAGCAACGCCGCGUGGGGGACGAAGGCCUUCGGGUUGUAAACCUCUUUUGGCAGGGAAGAAGCGAAAGUGACGGUACCUGCAGAAAAAGCACCGGCUAACUACGUGCCAGCAGCCGCGGUGAUACGUAGGGUGCAAGCGUUGUCCGGAAUUAUUGGGCGUAAAGAGCUCGUAGGCGGUGUGUCACGUCUGCUGUGAAAAUCCAAGGCUCAACCUUGGACUUGCAGUGGGUACGGGCACACUCGAGUGCGGUAGGGGAGAUUGGAAUUCCUGGUGUAGCGGUGGAAUGCGCAGAUAUCAGGAGGAACACCGAUGGCGAAGGCAGAUCUCUGGGCCGUAACUGACGCUGAGGAGCGAAAGCGUGGGGAGCGAACAGGAUUAGAUACCCUGGUAGUCCACGCCGUAAACGGUGGGAACUAGAUGUGGGGUCCGUUCCACGGAUUCCGUGUCGCAGCUAACGCACUAAGUUCCCCGCCUGGGGAGUACGGCCGCAAGGCUAAAACUCAAAGGAAUUGACGGGGGCCCGCACAAGCGGCGGAGCAUGCGGAUUAAUUCGAUGCAACGCGAAGAACCUUACCAAGGCUUGACAUAUAAAAGGAAAAGUGCAAAGAUGCACUCCCCGCAAGGUCUCUAUACAGGUGGUGCAUGGUUGUCGUCAGCUCGUGUCGUGGAAAUGUUGGGUUAAGUCCCGCAACGAGCGCAACCCUCGUCCUAUGUUGCC
Molecule: ribosomal RNA, 1083 nt
Filed under: uncultured bacterium
Lineage: Bacteria
Description: bacterial SSU rRNA
Rfam family: Bacterial small subunit ribosomal RNA
Source: RNAcentral